GUAGUCGGAUUCACACAUCAAUCCACAUGUGUUGAGGUGGAUUGGAGUGGAACUUGAACUAAAUUCCACCCCAAUCCACACCAAUACACAUGGAUUGAAGUGAAUCCGACA
Sorghum bicolor (sorghum) is the source of this 111-nucleotide microRNA precursor. It matches the Rfam family "MIR5565 microRNA precursor family". The record is from Rfam. Lineage: Eukaryota; Viridiplantae; Streptophyta; Magnoliopsida; Poales; Poaceae.